RNAcentral lists this ribosomal RNA (528 nucleotides) under Triticum aestivum (bread wheat). RNAcentral's name for it is "partial small subunit ribosomal RNA". Lineage: Eukaryota; Viridiplantae; Streptophyta; Magnoliopsida; Poales; Poaceae. The record is from RNAcentral.
AUGGCCAGGAAGGGCGGAGAGAGGAAGAAGGCGGUGACCCGGUCCACCAAGGCCGGCCUCCAGUUCCCCGUCGGCCGCAUCGGGCGCUUCCUCAAGAAGGGCCGCUACGCGCAGCGCGUCGGCUCCGGCGCCCCCGUCUACCUCGCCGCCGUCCUCGAGUACCUCGCCGCCGAGGUGCUGGAGCUCGCCGGCAACGCCGCCAAGGACAACAAGAAGACCCGCAUCGUGCCGCGCCACCUGCUCCUCGCCAUCCGCAACGACCAGGAGCUCGGCAAGCUGCUCGCCGGCGUCACCAUCGCGCACGGCGGCGUGCUCCCCAACAUCAACCCCGUGCUGCUCCCCAAGAAGGCCCUCGAGAAGGCCGAGAAGGAGUCCCAGUCGCCCAAGUCGCCCAAGAGGAAGGCCCCCGCUCCCGCCCCCGCCGCCAAGAAGACCCCCAAGAAGAAGGCCGCCGACAAGAAGACCGCCGCCGCUGACAAGAAGAAGGCCGCCGCCGACGCCGAGGAGGAGGCCGCCGCCGACGAGUAG